GUGGGGAAUCUUCCGCAAUGGACGAAAGUCUGACGGAGCAACGCCGCGUGAGUGAUGAAGGUCUUCGGAUUGUAAAGCUCUGUUAAUCGGGACGAAAGAGCCUAGUGUGAAUAAUGCUAGGAAGUGACGGUACCGGAAUAGAAAGCCACGGCUAACUACGUGCCAGCAGCCGCGGUAAUACGUAGGUGGCAAGCGUUGUCCGGAAUUAUUGGGCGUAAAGCGCGCGCAGGCGGAUCUGCCAGUCUGUCUUAAAAGUUCGGGGCUUAACCCCGUGAGGGGAUGGAAACUACAGAUCUAGAGUAUCGGAGAGGAAAGUGGAAUUCCUAGUGUAGCGGUGAAAUGCGUAGAUAUUAGGAAGAACACCAGUGGCGAAGGCGACUUUCUGGACGAAAACUGACGCUGAGGCGCGAAAGCCAGGGGAGCGAACGGGAUUAGAAACCCGGGUAGUCC
Molecule: ribosomal RNA, 450 nt
Filed under: uncultured bacterium
Lineage: Bacteria
Description: partial 16S ribosomal RNA
Rfam family: Bacterial small subunit ribosomal RNA
Source: RNAcentral